Carassius gibelio (silver crucian carp) is the source of this 429-nucleotide non-coding RNA. NCBI's taxonomy places the organism in Eukaryota, Metazoa, Chordata, Actinopteri, Cypriniformes, Cyprinidae. The record is from the annotation of a RefSeq genome assembly.
AUGAAAAAUCACUUCACGUUGAGUGAGGACGUGUCUCAAAGUGUUAGUGGUCAGUCUUUGACCUCCUCAGAUUCUGUGGUGAAAAAGCCUGGAGAAUCAGUGACUCUGUCCUGUACUGUGUCUGGAUCCUCAAUGAGCAGCUACUGGAUGGGCUGGAUCCGUCAGAAACCAGGGAAAGCACUGGAGUGGAUUGGAUUAGUGACCCAGACUUAUCUUGGAUCAGACAGACUGCAGGAGGAGGUCUGGAGUGGUUGGCAUACAUCUGGUGGUAGUAUAUACUACUCUCAGUCUGUUCAGGGACGCUUCACCAUCUCCAGAGACAACAGCAAGAAACAGAUGUAUCUGCAGAUGAAUAAUAUGAAGAAUGAAGACACUGCUGUAUAUUAUUGUGCAAGAGAGACACAGUGAUGAAAACAGCUACAGACAAAC